Molecule: ribosomal RNA, 1554 nt
Filed under: Klebsiella pneumoniae
Lineage: Bacteria; Pseudomonadati; Pseudomonadota; Gammaproteobacteria; Enterobacterales; Enterobacteriaceae
Description: bacterial SSU rRNA
Rfam family: Bacterial small subunit ribosomal RNA
Source: RNAcentral
ACUUAAAUUGAAGAGUUUGAUCAUGGCUCAGAUUGAACGCUGGCGGCAGGCCUAACACAUGCAAGUCGAGCGGUAGCACAGAGAGCUUGCUCUCGGGUGACGAGCGGCGGACGGGUGAGUAAUGUCUGGGAAACUGCCUGAUGGAGGGGGAUAACUACUGGAAACGGUAGCUAAUACCGCAUAACGUCGCAAGACCAAAGUGGGGGACCUUCGGGCCUCAUGCCAUCAGAUGUGCCCAGAUGGGAUUAGCUAGUAGGUGGGGUAACGGCUCACCUAGGCGACGAUCCCUAGCUGGUCUGAGAGGAUGACCAGCCACACUGGAACUGAGACACGGUCCAGACUCCUACGGGAGGCAGCAGUGGGGAAUAUUGCACAAUGGGCGCAAGCCUGAUGCAGCCAUGCCGCGUGUGUGAAGAAGGCCUUCGGGUUGUAAAGCACUUUCAGCGGGGAGGAAGGCGAUAAGGUUAAUAACCUUGUCGAUUGACGUUACCCGCAGAAGAAGCACCGGCUAACUCCGUGCCAGCAGCCGCGGUAAUACGGAGGGUGCAAGCGUUAAUCGGAAUUACUGGGCGUAAAGCGCACGCAGGCGGUCUGUCAAGUCGGAUGUGAAAUCCCCGGGCUCAACCUGGGAACUGCAUUCGAAACUGGCAGGCUAGAGUCUUGUAGAGGGGGGUAGAAUUCCAGGUGUAGCGGUGAAAUGCGUAGAGAUCUGGAGGAAUACCGGUGGCGAAGGCGGCCCCCUGGACAAAGACUGACGCUCAGGUGCGAAAGCGUGGGGAGCAAACAGGAUUAGAUACCCUGGUAGUCCACGCCGUAAACGAUGUCGAUUUGGAGGUUGUGCCCUUGAGGUGUGGCUUCCGGAGCUAACGCGUUAAAUCGACCGCCUGGGGAGUACGGCCGCAAGGUUAAAACUCAAAUGAAUUGACGGGGGCCCGCACAAGCGGUGGAGCAUGUGGUUUAAUUCGAUGCAACGCGAAGAACCUUACCUGGUCUUGACAUCCACAGAACUUUCCAGAGAUGGAUUGGUGCCUUCGGGAACUGUGAGACAGGUGCUGCAUGGCUGUCGUCAGCUCGUGUUGUGAAAUGUUGGGUUAAGUCCCGCAACGAGCGCAACCCUUAUCCUUUGUUGCCAGCGGUUAGGCCGGGAACUCAAAGGAGACUGCCAGUGAUAAACUGGAGGAAGGUGGGGAUGACGUCAAGUCAUCAUGGCCCUUACGACCAGGGCUACACACGUGCUACAAUGGCAUAUACAAAGAGAAGCGACCUCGCGAGAGCAAGCGGACCUCAUAAAGUAUGUCGUAGUCCGGAUUGGAGUCUGCAACUCGACUCCAUGAAGUCGGAAUCGCUAGUAAUCGUAGAUCAGAAUGCUACGGUGAAUACGUUCCCGGGCCUUGUACACACCGCCCGUCACACCAUGGGAGUGGGUUGCAAAAGAAGUAGGUAGCUUAACCUUCGGGAGGGCGCUUACCACUUUGUGAUUCAUGACUGGGGUGAAGUCGUAACAAGGUAACCGUAGGGGAACCUGCGGUUGGAUCACCUCCUUACCUUAAAGAA